Molecule: small RNA, 644 nt
Filed under: Pan troglodytes (chimpanzee)
Lineage: Eukaryota; Metazoa; Chordata; Mammalia; Primates; Hominidae
Description: retained intron
Source: RNAcentral
UUGGGGAUUCUGCCACACCUCCGUGUCCUGCUCCUCACAGGCAAUGGCCUCACCUCCCUGCCGCCCAAUUUGGCCGUCGCAGAACAAUAGAGGAUCUAGGCCCAGAGAUGCUCAACACCAGCCGGAAGUCACACAGCAAGCAAAGCAGCAGCAGCACCAGAGCCAGAGCUCAGGGAUCCUGGCCACCCUUCCCAUGCAUCUUCUAAUAUGGGAGGCAUCUGUAACAUCGCUGACAAGCAAGAGGUACAUCCUGAGGUUCCCAGCGCUGGAGACACUGAUGCUGGAUGACAACAGACUCUCCAACCCCAGUUGCUUUGCCAGCCUGGCUGGGCUCAGGAGGUAAAGCCAUAAGCCUUUCUCUGCUGGGCCUCCUCUAAUCCCCAGGCUUGCUCACACUCUGAGUGCUGUUCUGGAAGCCAAAAGGUUUGGGUUUAAAGCCUAGCUCCACAAUUUAUCUCUACUGUGUGGCCAUGGGUAAGUCAUUUCUCCCCUCUGAGCUUUGGCUCCUCCAUAAAAAUGGCCAUGAGUGAGGACAUUUCUGAUCACAUGACUGAAUUAGAAGCAGCAAAGAGAAAGGAAAACAGGAGGAGACUUUACCCAAGAUAGGAUUCGGACCCUGACAGUAGAGACAGGAAAAUUUUUUA